Molecule: ribosomal RNA, 465 nt
Filed under: uncultured bacterium
Lineage: Bacteria
Description: partial 16S ribosomal RNA
Rfam family: Bacterial small subunit ribosomal RNA
Source: RNAcentral
GACGAACGCUGGCGGCGUGCUUAACACAUGCAAGUCGAACGGUAAGGCCCCUUCGGGGGUACACGAGUGGCGAACGGGUGAGUAACACGUGAGCAACCUGCCCUUGACUCUGGAAUAACAGUUGGAAACAGCUGCUAAUACUGGAUAUUCAUCGUCCCCUUCCUGGGGGGUGGUGGAAAGCUCCGGCGGUCAGGGAUGGGCUCGCGGCCUAUCAGCUUGUUGGUGAGGUAAUGACUCACCAAGGCUUCGACGGGUAGCCGGCCUGAGAGGGCGACCGGCCACACUGGGACUGAGAUACGGCCCAGACUCCUACGGGAGGCAGCAGUGGGGAAUAUUGCACAAUGGGCGCAAGCCUGAUGCAGCAACGCCGCGUGCGGGAUGACGGCCUUCGGGUUGUAAACCGCUUUCAGUAGGGACGAAGGGUGACUGACGGUACCUACAGAAGAAGGACCGGCUAACUACGUG